RNAcentral lists this ribosomal RNA (236 nucleotides) under uncultured Staphylococcus sp. Its description in RNAcentral is "partial 16S ribosomal RNA". It matches the Rfam family "Bacterial small subunit ribosomal RNA", at positions 104 to 334 of the family's 1533-position model. The record is from RNAcentral. Lineage: Bacteria; Bacillati; Bacillota; Bacilli; Caryophanales; Staphylococcaceae.
GGGUGAGUAACACGUGGAUAACCUACCUAUAAGACUGGGAUAACUUCGGGAAACCGGAGCUAAUACCGGAUAAUAUUUUGAACCGCAUGGUUCAAAAGUGAAAGACGGUCUUGCUGUCACUUAUAGAUGGAUCCGCGCUGCAUUAGCUAGUUGAUAAGGUAACGGCUUACCAAGGCAACGAUGCAUAGCCGACCUGAGAGGGUGAUCGGCCACACUGGAACUGAGACACGGUCCAG